CCCUUAUAGAAAGCCAAAGGUCCCUGCAAAUGGCAUUGUAUAUCAUAGGUCAGAAGAUUCUUGGCUUAUGGUGCUCCUUGCACCUCCUUUCUUAUGGAAAUUGCUGCACUGAGUUUUCAACAUCAACAAAUACAGGAGCACAAAAGCACCGUUGUCACUCUAACUAAUAAAGAUGAAGUAUGAUGAGAAAGCAAAUAUAUAUAUGAAAAGAAUAUUCCAGAAAUGCAUGUCGGAAGUGAAUUAUAAUGAACAGGAAAAACAGCGAAGGACAGCCUGCUCAGAUCCACAUCUGUUGUAUAGAAUUAUUUAUUCGGCUAUGAUCCUUAAGGAUGGAAUAAGAAAUGAACACCACAAUAAUGGAAGAAACAAAAAAUUGAAAAAAGAAUUGCCAGACCAUGUUAUGCUUUCAACAAUUCACAACUAUAGUAAAUUUUAGCAUGUUAGAAAAACCAGAGAACAAUUUUCAUUCCUA
Molecule: unclassified non-coding RNA, 472 nt
Filed under: Hevea brasiliensis (rubber tree)
Lineage: Eukaryota; Viridiplantae; Streptophyta; Magnoliopsida; Malpighiales; Euphorbiaceae
Source: RNAcentral